This 253-nucleotide ribosomal RNA is filed under the name uncultured bacterium. RNAcentral's name for it is "partial 16S ribosomal RNA". It matches the Rfam family "Bacterial small subunit ribosomal RNA", at positions 524 to 776 of the family's 1533-position model. The record is from RNAcentral.
UACGUAGGGGGCGAGCGUUGUCCGGAGUUACUGGGCGUAAAGGGCAUGCAGGCGGUCCGAUCAGUUUGGGGUUACAGCUCCCGGCUCAACUGGGAGAGCGCCUCAAAGACGGUGGGACUUGAGAGCCAGAGAGGGACACAGAAUUCCGGGUGUAGUGGUGAAAUGCGUAGAUAUCCGGAGGAAUACCAAAGGCGAAGGCAGUGUCCUGGCUGGUAUCUGACGCUGAGGUGCGAAAGCUAGGGGAGCGAACGGG